This 68-nucleotide microRNA precursor is filed under the name Ictidomys tridecemlineatus (thirteen-lined ground squirrel). Its description in RNAcentral is "miRNA (ENSSTOG00000030826.1)". Lineage: Eukaryota; Metazoa; Chordata; Mammalia; Rodentia; Sciuridae. The record is from RNAcentral.
GAAAGGUUACUGAGCACAGUGACUCAUGCCUGUUAUCUCAGCAACUGGGGAGGCUGAGGCAGGAGGAU